UAAUGAACUUCUAAACGACAUAACCAAUCCAUCGUAAUCACUAGUUGCACAAUUUUUGAUGGCGUGUGAAGAAGGAAACUCCUUUAUCAAUGUUUUAAGGUAAUCUUGGCCUUUUGUUGCCUUCUCUAUUGCCAUCUCUAAGAAUAACUUGCUAAGGGUAAGAUAGUCUUUUGCCGAAGUUAUUUUAGGGUUAGGGCUUAGAAGUUUCAAGCAACGUUGGUUGUCUUUUCCAGCAUCUUUGCAUACAUUUAUGUACAAAUUGGAGUUUGAUUUUGGUGUAAUGGCGUGAGAAUUAAAGAUCAAGGAAAUUGUAAGGAAUAGGGAUAAACAUGUUGAGGGAUUCAUAUUGUUAUGAAGUGACUGAAUGAAGAUACUUUAGGGUUCUUAAUUUAUAUAUGGUACAAUGUCUUUUGUUAAUUAAUAUCAUUUAGGAGUUUGUUUAAAGGUUUUAAAACCAUUGAAUACUUUUGCGUUAAAUAUAAAUUUCUAUGCAACCGUUACUUCUUUACAUUUACUACCUGGAUUUUUUAAAACUUUAUUUAAAGUUUUUUUAGGAUUUAGUGGGAAUGCUGUAACGGGACAUUAAAGGAUGUAUAUUUAAACUUUUGAUUUGUCCUACACUAAAGUAUAAAUAAAACGGAUAUAUUUUAGACCGGAUCCAUUUUGCCACAUCAACUUAAUAUAUGUUAAAGUUUAUUUUAACAUUCUUUAUGCAAAACAAAUUAAAUAUAUUAAUAGAAAAAAAAGAGUAUAUGAAAAAAAAAACACCACUUGUGUUUUUAAACAACAAAAAUCGCCUAAACAAGUUGGGGAAAAAACAAGACCCACUAUUUCUUUUUUGAUCUAAUUAAUGAUUAACUUUUAUGCAUGCAAUAUUUAGUUUGUAAUAAAACAAAUUAGAUAUUUUAUUAAACCAAUUCAGUUAAUAAUUAUAUAGAUAUCAUAUAUAUGAACAUCAAUUUGAAUCUGCAUUAAAAAAUUAUAGAAUAAUUAAUAAAUAAUCACCACCCUUGAUUUAAAAUAGUAAUUAUGAAAAUUUUAAUAAAUUAUAAAUAUAUAUAUUAAUAUAAAUAUUUAUAGUAGAAAAUCUUGUCACUCUUUAUUAAAAUUUCUAACUCAAGCUCUAUUCAAAUAAUAUAAGUUGAUUUACACACACAUCUUAUAUAAAAAUCAUUUUGGUAAUUACAUUCUAAAGUAAUUUAAAUUUAAAUUAUUCAAGUGUUAUAAAUUUAUUAAAACAAUUAUUUUAAAUAUAAAUAAUUGGUUUUUUUCUAGGAUAAUGUUUCUACGUGAUUUUCAUGUUUGUCUGAUUUGAAGGUGCUUCUGAUCCCCAUCCUUCUAGGUUGUUGUUGUCUUUGACGGAAAGCUACUAAAGUUUUUAGAUUAACAAAAAACUGAAGUUAUACUUAUUUAUUGAGUGAUGAGGUAGAAGUGACAAAGUUAAUGGCUUUAAAAAUGAGAGAUUGACAACAAAAGUAUGCUAGGUCAAUGUGAAUUGACCAAUAUUCUCCGCGGCAGGAUUGACCAAUAUUAAAGUAUAAUUCAAAGAUUUUUCAAAAGUAUGAGUAUUUUGAUCAUGCUUUGAAUCUUCACUACUAUAAAUAUAUUUAUUUUAUUUCGAGCACGGAGAGAGAGUAUUUUAUCUCGGUUGAAAAUAUGAAAUAACAAAAAGCAAUAUGAAAAAUCUGUUUCUUUACAACAACAUUUUUAUAUUUUCAAAACUAUGUAGUGCACUCCAUAUACCUCUGAAUUUUGUUAAUAAUCGAGGGAAAAAUGAUAGUAUUUAUGUUGGUUUUUGUUAAUGAUUGAGGUGUAUAACAUAUUUUUUUGGAUUUAUGAUUUGUUUUAAAUCUCAUUUUGACUGAUUUGUAUCAUAUUUUUACAUAGAACCUAUAAAUUAUGUGACAGAAUUAUAUCAUUUGUAUUUUAUAUAGAACAUAACACAAAAUACCAAAGUUACACUAUUUACAAAAUCAAAUAUACAAUGCUUACAAUACUUAUGAUGACAUUUGAGAUCCACAAAACCUUUACCAAGUGAACCUAUACAUAUUUGCACCUAUAAUGACAAAACCUCUAUACAAUUCUUACAACAACCAAGAAAAACUAGUAUUUAUGAGAUUCAUGAUAAGAUAUGAAGGCACUGAUUCAACCUGAUCGGAUGUCAUCUACACCUUCUUGUGUGGAUGGUGUUUCAGCGCUAAAGCCUUAUAAUUUCAACAAAAUUUAAAUUAUGAUAAGCUAACCACAACAAUAUUAACUUAACAAAUAUGCAUAAAUUACAUGUAUAUAUAGAUAAGUUUAAUACCUUAAGUCUCUGGAGAUGAUACUAAACAUCUGUCUUAUAACAUAAUAUCCACAUUCAAAGUUGUUUGGUUGUUUUCGGAACCACUAAUAAUUUUCAUAUAGUUAAUAAUUAUUACACAGAAAGCACAAAUAUACAUUAGCGAAAAUAAAAGAAUGUCAAAAAGUACAAGUAAUACUUCCAUGUAGUUCUAUGAACUUUGGUUUUUUACCAUCUAAAUUAUAUAUCACAAAAUUGUAUCCCUCCAUAUCUCUACAUGAUGGUACAAUUUAAACAUGAAUAAAAAUUAUUCAAAAUUAAAGAUAAAAUUUGAGUAUUACAAAUAAUAUCAUUUAUCCGCUCAAAACCUUUUGCAUAUCUUCGUUAAAUUUAUAAUAUAGCGAGCAUAACAUAACUACAACAAUUUGCUUCGGUCAAAGACCCCUUUUGAUAAUAUCUAAUAAUAAAGGACUCUGUUUGGCAAUGCUUUAGUAAAUUAAUUAAUAACCAUUGUGAUUUUGUGAUACUAUUGUGUCUUCGCACAAAAAAAAAUGGUUUAAUGAUAUUAAGGGUUAGAAUCAAACAUGUCCGUUUUGUUUAGACUUGCUCUACAAAAGUCAUAAAAAAAAUAAGAUGGAAUGGAGCAGAAAUAGUUGAAGGUGCAAACUUAAAACCUUGGCUCAUUUUGAAAAAGAAAAUUAAGGGAGGGUUCGUGGGCUCGACACCUUUUAAGUUAAAAAAUAUAUAUGUUAAUUUCCACUCUUGCAGAAGCAAAAAAAAAUGGUAUAGGACAAACACAUUAAAGGAUGCAUGUUUAAACCUUUGAUUUGUCCCGCACUAAAUGAUAAGUAAAACUGAUAUGUCCGGCCGGAUCCGUUUUGCCGUUAAAGCUUAGUUUAACAUUUUUUAUGCAAAAAAGAUUAAAUAUAUUAAGAGAACAAGAAGAGUACAUGAAACAUAAAAAAACACCACUUGUUCUUUUAAACAACAAAAAUCGGCUAAACAAGUUGCGGGAAAAAACAAGACCUGUUAUUUCUUUUUUUAUCUAAUUAAUGACUAAUUUUUAUGUAUGCAAUAUUUAAUUUGUAAUAAAUUUUUUUAUAUAUUUUAUUAAGUCAGCUCAGUUAAUAACUGUAUAGAGAUAUCAUAUUGUCAUACCCCAAUUUUGUCCGGGUCAUUGUAAAUUUUCAUAAAUUCGAUUUUAAUUUCAAUUUGCAUCAGUUGUAUAGCAUAACAUGCAUUUCAUCAUGAAUAAUACCUAAAAUAUCAGUCGGAAUAAACUUUCGAAAUACAGACGAAUGAGUUAAAUCAUUCCUCAAGUACGUCCAAAAUCAGCAAGUAAAAAGUUUUGAAAUCAAGCUUGCAGACGCCAAUAUUAUUAAUAUAUGAUUUACAUAGUUUAACCUGGUGUGCUCGUUAUAUUUUCGAAGACUUUUUCAGUCGCAUUUUGACUCGCCUGCGCCUUUUAACCGAUCCAAGUUUAUUUCAAAAUUAAAAAGAAACGCUGUAUUUUUCCAAUAAGUAUAUUUCGUACUGGUCAUUUUAAUGCAUUCAAUUUAAUUUUUCGAGCAUAUUCUCACCCGACUUUUCCUCAUAUUCAGUCAUUUUAUUUCUAUUUGUUUGUCAAAAUAAUCGGGAUCAUUAAUUAGAAUUUUCCAUGUUCUUAUUUUAUUUUUAUCAUAUUCAUUUUAGAAGUUGGGAAUUUUAUGUGAUUUAAUUGGUUUAAAUUGUUUAAAUUAAUUAAAUCAUCUAGAAGAGGGUAACAUUGUCAUUUUGAAUUGUUUGUGCUUCUUUGAUUUAAUCUUAAUCAUUGAUUCAAAUUAAUCAAUGGUCCUCAUUAGCAAUCCUUGACCAUUCCAAUUCAUCCAAUCAAAAUAAAAAAAAAAUCAAAUAAUAAGCAAUCAAGAAAAUAAGAAAAAUAAAAGAAUAUCUUCUCAUUUCCAAUGAGAAGUUGCCACGCGCCCACCAAUGAGGACCACUCCCAACGGACAAAAAGAAUAGACUCUCUCUCUCAUUAGCUGGCGAGGAAUGGUGGAUAAGAAGAUGAAAUAAUAUAUUUUCAUUUCCAAUAACACAUGGCCAGAUGUCCCAUUCUCCAAGAGAGCACGUAUUCUCACACUCUCUCUAAUUCUCAACGGAAAAAUAAAAAGAAAGGAAAUAAAAAGUUAUAUAUUAUCUAGAAUUUAAUUUUAUAAAUAUUUUUUAGAAUUUGAUGGAUCAUCGAUAUGAGAUAGCAGUCCAUUUAAAGAUUAAUUAUAUAAUGAUUCUAUGACAUCUAUCAAUAUUUUAUUUACACUUUAAUAUAUUUCAGAAUAUUUGAAAUAUUAAAUAUUUUGUGUUUGAUUAUCUAUUUACUACUUUAAGUAUAAAAAGAUAAAGUAGUUUUAAAACCGCUCUCUUCCCCUUGUGAAUCAAACAUAUUUUUGAUUAAAAUUUCUCCCUCAUCUUUCCUCUCUCUCUUUUGAACAAAACAAACAUUUAAUUAAAUACAUCAUCUCCCCUCCUCUCCCCUCCCCUUUGUUAAAAGCUCUCCCCUCCCAUCCGUUGAACCAAAUGAAUGUUAAGGCUUUGUUUGAAGGUUUGGAGGGGAGAGCUUUGUAAUUUUUUUAUUUAAAAAUAUAGAGAAAUCUUUAACUUUUUUUGAGAAUAAAAUUUUGUUUAGAAUGAUAAAAGAGUGUUUAUUAUUAACAUAUUUUUAUUUUUUUUAGUAUUAUAACAACAUAAAUAACAUUUGAACAAUUUAUGAAAACCCUCCAAACCCCUCCUCCUAUACAAUUUUUUCAGCUCCCCCAAAUUAGCGAAUUUUGAUUUUUAAAUAAAAAUAAAUCCUCCAAAAUCCUCUCCACGUAAAUCAUUCUAUUCUUUUUAUCAAAUCCUUUCCUUUUUUCAAAGUCCUCCUCACUAUUCCCCUCCAAACUCUCAAACAAAGCCUAAGGGUAUGUAAGGAUUGGUGGUAUGUGAUGAAAUAGAAUGCAGUGAUAGAUUUCAUUGUUUGAAUUUGUUAAUAAUGGAUGAAGUAAAAUGGAAUAUGAUGUGAUCCAUUUCAUCCAAUUCUUCAUUUUUUGUUCCAUCUGAUUUGGAAUGUAUACAAUAGAAUGAAACAUUUUGAAUAAAGUAAGCAAACAAUAGCGUGGAAUUGAUAUUCCAUUCCACAACAUUCUGGUUUGUUAUGUUCCAUCGGUCCAAGUAUAGCCUAAGAUAAAAAGGCAUAAUUAAUGAUAGUUAUUAGGCCACGUGUCGUAUCCAUCCAAUAAGACGUUGCAAGUAACAAGGAAGACAUUAAUGUGCAUGUUCUCAAUGAUAUCACGGUCCAAGUAUAGCCUAAGAUAAAAAGGCAUAAUUAAUGAUAGUUAUUAGGCCACGUGUCGUAUCCAUCCAAUAAGACGUUGCAAGUAACAAGGAAGACAUUAAUGUGCAUGUUCUCAAUGAUAUCGAUCUCACAACUCUAAUUGUCCUCUCUGUAUAAAGUCAUUUGCAUGCCUCAAGACUGAGUAUCUGUAUCCCACGUCACCCGAUCAUGAACUAUUUAAGUUCUUCAACGGAACAUAAAAAAAAUGUUUUUCAUAACGUCUUUUAACAUUUUACAAUAUCAUCUCAAAAAAAAUUUAAAACUUUAAAGAUUAUUUUUUCUUUUCAAAAUAACCUUUUUAAAAUUUCAAUUUACUAUACUCUAAAGUUAUGUAAAAUCAGGACAAGUCUACAUUGGUGCCGCCAGAGGCAUAAUAUUGUGCUAUCAAAUGUGCAACCAAACAAUUAAAAAUAAAAGAAGUGCAAAAUAUUCAUGCUUUUGUGUUUGAGUAAUUGUGCAAUAUUUCAUUGACAUCGACUAUAAUUCCAAACACAUUGAAAAAGAAUAAAUGUAAAGUAACAAUUUUCCUUUUAAGCAUUUUGAAUAAACACAAAAAUCAUUCUAAAUUCAACAAUAGCAAACAAAAUAUCUUAUUUUCGAAGAAACUAUAAUUCCAAACACAUUGAAAAAGAAUAAAUGUAAAGUAACAAUUUUCCUUUUAAGCAUUUUGAAUAAACACAAAAAUCAUUCUAAAUUCAACAAUAGCAAACAAAAUAUCUUAUUUUCGAAGAUAAUUUGUGGCCAGAUACGCAACAUCACUAAGAAACGUCAUCUCAUUAUUCAUCUUAGAAACAGAAGGAUUAACUAUUUUCUCAUUAGCCAAUUCACGAUCACAAGCUUGUGGUCCAUCACCAGCAACUCUAGCAUCAUAGUUUGCAGAAAUUGGAUCCACAACCAACUCACCUAAUGAACUUCUAAACGACAUAACCAAUCCAUCGUAAUCACUAGUUGCACAAUUUUUGAUGGCGUGUGAAGAAGGAAACUCCUUUAUCAAUGUUUUAAGGUAAUCUUGGCCUUUUGUUGCCUUCUCUAUUGCCAUCUCUAAGAAUAACUUGCUAAGGGUAAGAUAGUCUUUUGCCGAAGUUAUUUUAGGGUUAGGGCUUAGAAGUUUCAAGCAACGUUGGUUGUCUUUUCCAGCAUCUUUGCAUAAGCCUUCUCUAUUGCCAUCUCUAAGAAUAACUUGCUAAGGGUAAGAUAGUCUUUUGCCGAAGUUAUUUUAGGGUUAGGGCUUAGAAGUUUCAAGCAACGUUGGUUGUCUUUUCCAGCAUCUUUGCAUAUAUUUUUGUAUAAAU
RNAcentral lists this long non-coding RNA (6922 nucleotides) under Lathyrus oleraceus (garden pea). Its description in RNAcentral is "Pisum sativum (pea) long non-coding RNA (PSAT_LNC031965)". Lineage: Eukaryota; Viridiplantae; Streptophyta; Magnoliopsida; Fabales; Fabaceae. The record is from RNAcentral.